ACCCCGCUGAAACUUAAGCAUAUCAAUAAGCGGAGGAAAAGAAACCAACAGGGAUUGCCUCAGUAACGGCGAGUGAAGCGGCAACAGCUCAAAUUUGAAAUCUGGCCCUAGGCCCGAGUUGUAAUUUGCAGAGGAUGCUUUUGGUGCGGUGCCUUCCAAGUUCCCUAGAACGGGACGCCAGAGAGGGUGAGAGCCCCGUACAGUUGGACACCAAGCCUUUGUAAAGCUCCUUCGACGAGUCGAGUAGUUUGGGAAUGCUGCUCAAAAUGGGAGGUAUAUUUCUUCUAAAGCUAAAUACCGGCCAGAGACCGAUAGCGCACAAGUAGAGUGAUCGAAAGAUGAAAAGCACUUUGAAAAGAGGGUUAAACAGCACGUGAAAUUGUUAAAAGGGAAGCGCUUGUGACCAGACUUGCGUCCGGUGAAUCACCCAGCUCUCGCGGCUGGGGCACUUCGCCGGCUCAGGCCAGCAUCAGCUCGCUGUCGGGGACAAAAGCUUCAGGAACGUAGCUCUCUUCGGGGAGUGUUAUAGCCUGUUGCAUAAUACCCUUCGGCGGGCUGAGGUACGCGCUCCGCAAGGAUGCUGGCAUAAUGGUCAUCAGCGACCCGUCUUGAAACACGGAACCAAGGAGA
RNAcentral lists this ribosomal RNA (630 nucleotides) under Colletotrichum gloeosporioides. RNAcentral's name for it is "partial large subunit ribosomal RNA". It matches the Rfam family "Eukaryotic large subunit ribosomal RNA", at positions 24 to 674 of the family's 3401-position model. The record is from RNAcentral. Lineage: Eukaryota; Fungi; Ascomycota; Sordariomycetes; Glomerellales; Glomerellaceae.